RNAcentral lists this ribosomal RNA (369 nucleotides) under uncultured bacterium. Its description in RNAcentral is "bacterial SSU rRNA". It matches the Rfam family "Bacterial small subunit ribosomal RNA", at positions 527 to 896 of the family's 1533-position model. The record is from RNAcentral.
GUAGGGUGCGAGCGUUAAUCGGAAUUACUGGGCGUAAAGCGUGCGCAGGCGGUUCGUCGUGUCUGAUGUGAAAGCCCCGGGCUCAACCUGGGAAUGGCAUUGGAAACUGGCGGACUAGAGUGUGGCAGAGGGGGGUGGAAUUCCGCGUGUAGCAGUGAAAUGCGUAGAGAUGCGGAGGAACACCGAUGGCGAAGGCAGCCCCCUGGGCUAACACUGACGCUCAGGCACGAAAGCGUGGGGAGCAAACAGGAUUAGAUACCCUGGUAGUCCACGCCCUAAACCAUGUCAACUGGGUGUUCGGGAAGCGAUUCCUGAGUACCGUAGCUAACGCGUGAAGUUGACCGCCUGGGGAGUACGGCCGCAAGGUUA